Molecule: transfer RNA, 69 nt
Filed under: Marmota marmota marmota (Alpine marmot)
Lineage: Eukaryota; Metazoa; Chordata; Mammalia; Rodentia; Sciuridae
Also listed under: 1 other name
Rfam family: tRNA
About the family: Transfer RNA (tRNA) molecules are approximately 80 nucleotides in length.
Source: Rfam by way of RNAcentral
AGAGCUAUAGCUCAGUGGCAGAGCAUUUGCCUAGCAUGCAUGAGACACUGGGUUCAAUCCUUAGCACUA